GCAGAAGAAAGGUGCCAGCAUGAAGUUGUUCAUUGUUGUGUGUGCGUUAGAUCAACAAAUAAGGGAUAAAAGAGUGCUGCAGCUAUGAAUCCAGCAGAGGGCACUGUCUCACAUGUUAAUUCACUCAACAUUCUCCAGCCGGAAGAUGCUUUGACAAGACGUGUAACUGCAUGUCUUCGAGACAGAAAUAGAACACGCCAACAACUGAAAAUGGAUUUGAUACAAUUGAGCUGACUGAUGGCUUUUCCUUGAAGAAAACUCAUGGAAAAUGUGCAAAGAUCUAACACAGGCUGGGAAGUGUUCUUUAUUCCCAAACACAGCAACAAAUGCAUAUUUGAGUUAUGAUAAGAUGAGAUGCAAAUAUCAUCACUAGCCAUUCAUAAAUCUCUUUUUCUGCAAACAAUAUCAUUCAUUUUUUAGGAGAUUUUUCUACAUUCUGGAUAAAAAAUGAUGACUUGGCUCAGACUUGAUAUAGGUCCAUGUUGUUAUUAGUUGUUUUCGUCCCUGCCUCCUCCGUGCCUGUGUUUUCUUUUCCUUGCAGAUGUCCUUGCUCUGGCUGAAGGCAGGACAACUGGGCACACCUGCAGCUGAUUGCUUUGCUAUCCACUUAAGCUGACUGCUUGCAGCUGUGAGACGCUGGCUCGAUCUUUGAUGCCUGCUUGUCACUCUUGCGUGGACUUGGUCAUUUGCCUGCAGCACAUGUGUCAAUGGAGGGCCCGAAACACUGCAGGUUUUCUCUCCAACCAGUUUCUCCAGCAGGUGAUUUCAUUGAUGACCUCCUUCCCUCAAAUUGAAGGAGGUGUUGAUCAUUAAAAUCACUUUUGUGACCGGCUGGAAAAAAAACCUGCAGUGUCUCGGCCCUCCAUGGCACGACUUCGACACCCCUAGCCUAGAGGAUUACUUCUUUGUUCACGACAUUUUCCUGCGUUUUAAGGACUAUUGCGAAGCGUCACCUGCAGGAUUAGCCCAGUUGCUACCCUGCCUUCCAAGCCAGCUUUUGACCUAUGUUGACCUUUUGCGAGUACAAUUGCUUCCAUGGAGUUUUUCUGCUAGUUCUUUUGUUAGUGAAUUUUGUUUUUGUUGAUACUUGGCUUAAUAAAAGACUUGAAUUGGACUUCCGGUGGCACGCUAACAAGAUGGACAUGUAGUUGUGGGCUCCCUAGUAUCGGCUUUCAAAAGUACCUCCAAUUAAUACAAACCAGCCUUACAGAUAUUCUAACCCGAUUAUGAAAGGAGGGAAACAGCAAAGGAGUCAUAAGGCAACCAAAACACAGUGAAUGGCGGAGAAAGAUGACUGGAGAAAUGGCAACAAAGAUGAAGUGGCUCCAGAAGCUAACACGGCUAUUGAUGAUGCAAUGCUUCGUGGUCUUUCACGCCUUACCCCGGAGUUUAACAGCUUUAAAGACGACUUGAAUCAACGCUUCAGCGACACAAUGCUAACAUACUGGAGCUGGAGUCAGCCUGCCAAGCAAUGAAAGACGUGCUUCUGACUGUGGUGAAGGAAAAAGUCGACUUGGGGAAACAAGAUUGUUUGUUUGUUUCUUCUCAGCCGAUUCUCCAGAUCAGCAAUCUUUGGAUUUAUGGGAUACCAGAGGAGGCAGAAGGGACACCAAUAAUCGAUUUUGUGAACACUUUGCUUAAGAAACACCUCACACUGAUGUGCAAAUACAGUGAGCUCACCAGGCGCUUUGACCCAAACCUAAUACGCCCGCAGCUUCCAGAUCAAUUGUAGUUAACUUCCUGCAGUUGUACGUGAAGGAGAUGGUUCUACAGAAAGCACGGCAGAAGAUCGACUCUACUUUGACGACUAUGCUGCUGCUAUUUUGGAAAAGUGCAAGGCAUAUGGCCCAAUAAAAGUGUUAUUGACGCAGAAGGGCAUUCGUUUUUUUGAAACACCCUACACGAAGAUGCGAGUGCACUGGGAAACAUGACUUCAGAUCCACGAGAGUGCACGUGAGGCGGCCCAGCAUCUAAACAAACAAGGCAUCGAGGUGACAUAACGAGGGAGCACCCAGCGGCAACAGUGGAGGGGCGACUGAGGGAGCUGUUGCCAUGGAAACGAUUCGGCGCGGCAGACACAACUGCACAACAUGUGAAGGAAAGGCCCACUGAGUUCAGAAGAAACCACCGGC
Dunckerocampus dactyliophorus (ringed pipefish) is the source of this 2132-nucleotide long non-coding RNA. RefSeq lists it as uncharacterized. Lineage: Eukaryota; Metazoa; Chordata; Actinopteri; Syngnathiformes; Syngnathidae. The transcript is spliced from 3 exons. The record is from RefSeq and is a predicted model, not a curated record.